GGGGGUGUACUGGUUUCGACGGGGAUUUUGAAGUCAGGGAAGCCAUUCGCAGUUCCGGCGUCUGCGUCAACAAGCUGGAAAAUAUUUAAACGCUGAAGAUAAUAAUUUAGCAUUCGCAGCCUAAGGCUGCGUGUCAGCCUCUAAUCACCCGCUGUUAGAGAAUCUGGCAUCGACUUUGCGGGGCACUUGCAUGCCUAAGCUUUGCGGCUUGUAAAGACUAUCAUGAAGCUACUGAAGCGAUAAGCCUGUCGGCCGGCGUAUCGUAGAGGGAAUGUCAAAAGACCAACUAUAAUGGUAGAAGUCUGAUGGACGGAUUUUCGGACAGGGGUUCGAUUCCCCUCACCUCCAUC
RNAcentral lists this transfer-messenger RNA (350 nucleotides) under marine eukaryotic metagenome. It matches the Rfam family "transfer-messenger RNA". Rfam says of the family: Bacterial tmRNA, also known as 10Sa RNA or SsrA, is named for its dual tRNA and mRNA-like properties. Its role is to liberate the mRNA from a stalled ribosome. The record is from RNAcentral.